CCUACGGGAGGCAGCAGUGAGGAAUAUUGGACAAUGGGCGCAAGCCUGAUCCAGCCAUGCCGCGUGCAGGAAGAAGCAUCUAUGGUGUGUAAACUGCUUUUGUACAGGAAGAAACACUCCCUCGUGAGGGAGCUUGACGGUACUGUAAGAAUAAGGACCGGCUAACUCCGUGCCAGCAGCCGCGGUAAUACGGAGGGUCCGAGCGUUAUCCGGAAUCAUUGGGUUUAAAGGGUCCGUAGGCGGUUUAAUAAGUCAGUGGUGAAAUCUGGUCGCUCAACGAUCAAACGGCCAUUGAUACUGUUAGACUUGAAUUAUAAGGAAGUAACUAGAAUAUGUAGUGUAGCGGUGAAAUGCUUAGAUAUUACAUGGAAUACCAAUUGCGAAGGCAGGUUACUACUUAUGGAUUGACGCUGAUGGACGAAAGCGUGGGGAGCGAACAGGAUUAGAUACCCUGGUAGUCCACGCCGUAAACGAUGGAUACUAGCUGUUCGGAGCAAUCUGAGUGGCUAAGCGAAAGUGAUAAGUAUCCACCUGGGGAGUACGUUCGCAAGAAUUGAAACUUNAAAUGAAUUGACGG
This 577-nucleotide ribosomal RNA is filed under the name uncultured bacterium. RNAcentral's name for it is "bacterial SSU rRNA". It matches the Rfam family "Bacterial small subunit ribosomal RNA", at positions 338 to 916 of the family's 1533-position model. The record is from RNAcentral.